Molecule: ribosomal RNA, 429 nt
Filed under: uncultured bacterium
Lineage: Bacteria
Description: bacterial SSU rRNA
Rfam family: Bacterial small subunit ribosomal RNA
Source: RNAcentral
UGGGGAAUAUUGGACAAUGGGCGCAAGCCUGAUCCAGCAAUGCCGCGUGUGUGAAGAAGGCCUGCGGGUUGUAAAGCACUUUAAGCAGGAAAGAAGGCUUCAAGAUUAAUACCCUUGGAGAUUGACGUUACCUGCAGAAUAAGCACCGGCUAACUCCGUGCCAGCAGCCGCGGUAAUACGGAGGGUGCGAGCGUUAAUCGGAAUUACUGGGCGUAAAGCGCGCGUAGGCGGUUGGCUAAGUCUGCUGUGAAAGCCCCGGGCUUAACCUGGGAACGGCAGUGGAUACUGGCUGGCUAGAGUAUGGUAGAGGGUAGUGGAAUUUCCGGUGUAGCAGUGAAAUGCGUAGAGAUCGGAAGGAACACCAGUGGCGAAGGCGGCUAUCUGGACCAAUACUGACGCUGAGGUGCGAAAGCGUGGGGAGCAAACAGG